CCUACGGGGGGCUGCAGUGAGGAAUAUUGCUCAAUGGGCGCGAGCCUGACCCAGCCAAGUCGCGUGAAGGAUGACUGCCCUACGGGUUGUAAACUUCUUUUAUAAAGGAAUAAGGUGAGGCACGUGUGCCUUUUUGUAUGUACUUUAUGAAUAAGGAUCGGCUAACUCCGUGCCAGCAGCCGCGGUAAUACGGAGGAUCCGAGCGUUAUCCGGAUUUAAUGGGUUUAAAGGGCGCGUAGAUGGUUUGUUAAGUCAGUUGUGAAAGUUUGCGGCUCAACCGUAAAAUUGCAAUUGAUACUGGCAGUCUUGAGUACAGUUGAGGUAGGUGGAAUUCGAGGUGUAGCGGUGAAAUGCUUAGAUAUCACGAAGAACACCGAUGGCGAAGGCAGCUUACUAAACUGCCACUGACAUUGAUGCUCGAAAGUGUGGGUAGCAAACAGGAUUAGAUACCCUUGUAGUC
This 460-nucleotide ribosomal RNA is filed under the name uncultured bacterium. RNAcentral describes it as "partial 16S ribosomal RNA". It matches the Rfam family "Bacterial small subunit ribosomal RNA", at positions 338 to 795 of the family's 1533-position model. The record is from RNAcentral.